RNAcentral lists this ribosomal RNA (464 nucleotides) under uncultured bacterium. RNAcentral describes it as "bacterial SSU rRNA". It matches the Rfam family "Bacterial small subunit ribosomal RNA", at positions 29 to 477 of the family's 1533-position model. The record is from RNAcentral.
AACGAACGCUGGCGGCGUGCCUAACACAUGCAAGUCGAACGGGGAUAGAUAGCUUGCUAUUUAUUCUAGUGGCGCACGGGUGAGUAACGCGUAGAUAAUCUGCCUUGGACUCUGGGAUAACAUUUCGAAAGGGGUGCUAAUACCGGAUAAGCCCACGGGGACGUAAGUUCUUGCGGGAAAAGGGGGCCUCUGCAUAUGCUCUUGAUCCAAGAUGAGUCUGCGUACCAUUAGCUAGUUGGUAGGGUAAGAGCCUACCAAGGCGACGAUGGUUAGCUGGUCUGAGAGGAUGGUCAGCCACACUGGAACUGAGACACGGUCCAGACUCCUACGGGAGGCAGCAGUGGGGAAUUUUGCGCAAUGGGGGAAACCCUGACGCAGCAACGCCGCGUGAGUGAUGAAGGCUUUCGGGUCGUAAAGCUCUGUCUAGAGGGAAGAAAUGAUAUUGGGUUAAUACCCUGAUUUCU